AGUACUUGGCAGCAGUUGCAGCGUGUGGCUGGAAUCGCUACCCACAUCGCGCGGGGCUAUGCAGGAAAAGGAAAACGAGGGAAUCUAUUCGGAGAACUCUCACCCAGGCUUCUGCUCAAAGUUCUGCCAGAUGUGUGCAGGGCUUUGUGAGUAAAUGAGCCAUGGAUUGGUCUGAAUCACAGAGAAGUUGGAGAAGUUGGGUUCGCGUUGUCUAUACAUUUUUGACCUUUGUUAUUUGUCAAAAUAAAUUGUUGAAAUUAAACAAAUUAUUCUUGAGUGGUGGUGCUUCCGAUGGUGCUGGUGGGAGCAUGAGUGGACAGACAAUAGGAUUCUCCACCUACCAUGUGAC
Molecule: long non-coding RNA, 349 nt
Organism: Epinephelus moara (kelp grouper)
Lineage: Eukaryota; Metazoa; Chordata; Actinopteri; Perciformes; Serranidae
Exons: 3
Source: RefSeq, a predicted model, not a curated record